This 1289-nucleotide ribosomal RNA is filed under the name Salmonella enterica subsp. enterica serovar Kentucky. Its description in RNAcentral is "partial 23S ribosomal RNA". It matches the Rfam family "Bacterial large subunit ribosomal RNA", at positions 161 to 1405 of the family's 2925-position model. Lineage: Bacteria; Pseudomonadati; Pseudomonadota; Gammaproteobacteria; Enterobacterales; Enterobacteriaceae. The record is from RNAcentral.
AAUCCAUAGGUUAAUGAGGCGAACCGGGGGAACUGAAACAUCUAAGUACCCCGAGGAAAAGAAAUCAACCGAGAUUCCCCCAGUAGCGGCGAGCGAACGGGGAGGAGCCCAGAGCCUGAAUCAGCAUGUGUGUUAGUGGAAGCGUCUGGAAAGGCGCGCGAUACAGGGUGACAGCCCCGUACACAAAAGCGCAUGUGCUGUGAGCUCGAUGAGUAGGGCGGGACACGUGGUAUCCUGUCUGAAUAUGGGGGGACCAUCCUCCAAGGCUAAAUACUCCUGACUGACCGAUAGUGAACCAGUACCGUGAGGGAAAGGCGAAAAGAACCCCGGCGAGGGGAGUGAAAAAGAACCUGAAACCGUGUACGUACAAGCAGUGGGAGCACAGGUUUACCUGUGUGACUGCGUACCUUUUGUAUAAUGGGUCAGCGACUUAUAUUCUGUAGCAAGGUUAACCGAAUAGGGGAGCCGUAGGGAAACCGAGUCUUAACCGGGCGUUAAGUUGCAGGGUAUAGACCCGAAACCCGGUGAUCUAGCCAUGGGCAGGUUGAAGGUUGGGUAACACUAACUGGAGGACCGAACCGACUAAUGUUGAAAAAUUAGCGGAUGACCUGUGGCUGGGGGUGAAAGGCCAAUCAAACCGGGAGAUAGCUGGUUCUCCCCGAAAGCUAUUUAGGUAGCGCCUCGUGAACUCAUCUCCGGGGGUAGAGCACUGUUUCGGCUAGGGGGCCAUCCCGGCUUACCAACCCGAUGCAAACUGCGAAUACCGGAGAAUGUUAUCACGGGAGACACACGGCGGGUGCUAACGUCCGUCGUGAAGAGGGAAACAACCCAGACCGCCAGCUAAGGUCCCAAAGUCAUGGUUAAGUGGGAAACGAUGUGGGAAGGCCCAGACAGCCAGGAUGUUGGCUUAGAAGCAGCCAUCAUUUAAAGAAAGCGUAAUAGCUCACUGGUCGAGUCGGCCUGCGCGGAAGAUGUAACGGGGCUAAACCAUGCACCGAAGCUGCGGCAGCGAACGUAUCACUUAAAGCGAUUCAGCGGGUUACGAUUGACGGAGCGAAGCGACGUCAAAGCGUAUACAAAGUCGAGUCGGUUUAAGGAUACGUUCGUUGGGUAGGGGAGCGUUCUGUAAGCCUGUGAAGGUGGCCUGUGAGGGUUGCUGGAGGUAUCAGAAGUGCGAAUGCUGACAUAAGUAACGAUAAAGCGGGUGAAAAGCCCGCUCGCCGGAAGACCAAGGGUUCCUGUCCAACGUUAAUCGGGGCAGGGUGAGUCGACCCCUAAGGCGAGGCCGA